Molecule: small RNA, 101 nt
Filed under: Marmota monax (woodchuck)
Lineage: Eukaryota; Metazoa; Chordata; Mammalia; Rodentia; Sciuridae
Source: RNAcentral
GCUGGGCAUGGUGGCACAUGCCUAUAAUCCCAGCAACUUAGGAGGCUGGGGCAGGAGAAUCCCAAAUUUAAGGCUAGCAACUUGGUGAGACCUUGUCUCAA